UGCAAAUUUUAAAGAAAACCUUCGACCUGCGUAGUCUAGUGCCUGCUGACAGAUACGCGGGAAAGCUCUGAAGCUCUAUUAGUCCAGUUAUCAACUGUCAGAAAAACAUUUGGGCCAUCCCUUUCUUCUAUCACUCAAGGGUUCUUUGACUUGCUGGUCAAAGGAGGGAUGACCCUCCGUUCUCAAAGGUCUUCUUUCUUUGGAUGCGUAUUGACUAUGGUUCAUAAUUCAUGGCGGGACACACUCGCGACAACAAAAAGGACUAAUUCAUUUAUAAAAUUUGCACAACUACGAAUACUUUUAUGAUGACAAACACCUCUCCGUCCUUUCGUAGCAUGGACAACCAACGCCACCUUAUCCGGUUUAUUAUGCACUGCACGAUACUAUAGGGAACGUGCAAUCAAGCCAUUCCUGCACCGAGUUUGACGAGACACACCAGGUUCGUUACUCAUCCCUCCAAACCUUUGCCAAUAGAGAAGAGUCGCCAUCGGUGCGAUUAAUAAAUCAUCACGAUAAGAGCACGUUGACGGCAUAACGAUCGCUGGCAGAGGCAAUCGCGUCAGCGCCGGUGUCGGUGAUGAUGUGUACUCGAAGUGAUACUUCGUUCGCCUUUCGUUCUAUCAUUCAGUCAUUUACGGGAUGGCCCUCACCUAUCGCCGGCCUGAGCUCAGCUCUCUUACCGUUUCUUUUUCUCACUUCUAUUCACGUUUUUCUCUAAUGGCCAACCAGAUUUUCCUCGGGACGACAUAUUUGGACGACAACACUGCGCGCGCAUUGCAUCUGCGGCAAAUAAAGGACGGGACUACAUCAUCCCAAACGUCCAAUAAAAAAAAAAGUUACUCAAAGGAAAACGCAAAGUUCGGCAAAGUGAAGUCCGUGACCAGUCAUUGUAUCUUUCAAAACGGUUCGUGGCACAACCUUGUGUACUUACGCAGAUUGGUCAAGGUGAGGAGGUUACUGUCAGUUACAUCUCAGUGGAUCGUAACAAACUAAUGCAGAUGCAUGUUUACGAGUAUAGCACUGUUUUCAUGGAUGCUUCAAAAUGUAUAUCUGAUAUGUUCUAUACUUGAAUACAGAAUGUCCGAGAUAUAAAAAGAAUACAAGCUGCUAGUGUAUUUUGCC
Varroa destructor (honeybee mite) is the source of this 1122-nucleotide long non-coding RNA. The record is from RefSeq and is a predicted model, not a curated record. Lineage: Eukaryota; Metazoa; Arthropoda; Arachnida; Mesostigmata; Varroidae.